AUACGGAGGGUGCAAGCGUUAAUCGGAUUUACUGGGCGUAAAGCGCGCGUAGGCGGCUAAUUAAGUCAAAUGUGAAAUCCCCGAGCUUAACUUGGGAAUUGCAUUCGAUACUGGUUAGCUAGAGUGUGGGAGAGGAUGGUAGAAUUCCAGGUGUAGCGGUGAAAUGCGUAGAGAUCUGGAGGAAUACCGAUGGCGAAGGCAGCCAUCUGGCCUAACACUGACGCUGAGGUGCGAAAGCAUGGGGAGCAAACAGGAUUAGAUACCCCAGUAGUCC
Molecule: ribosomal RNA, 274 nt
Filed under: uncultured bacterium
Lineage: Bacteria
Description: partial 16S ribosomal RNA
Rfam family: Bacterial small subunit ribosomal RNA
Source: RNAcentral